GACGAACGCUGGCGGCGUGCUUAACACAUGCAAGUCGAACGGAAAGGCCCUGCUUUUGUGGGGUGCUCGAGUGGCGAACGGGUGAGUAACACGUGAGUAACCUGCCCUUGACUUUGGGAUAACUUCAGGAAAUUGGGGCUAAUACCGGAUAGGAGCUCCUGCUGCAUGGUGGGGGUUGGAAAGUUUCGGCGGUUGGGGAUGGACUCGCGGCUUAUCAGCUUGUUGGUGGGGUAGUGGCUUACCAAGGCUUUGACGGGUAGCCGGCCUGAGAGGGUGACCGGCCACGUGAGUACUGAGAUACGGACCAGACUCCUACGGGAGGCAGCAGGGGGGAAUAUUGCACAAUGGGCGGAAGCCUGAUGCGGCAACGCCGCGUGCGGGAUGACGGCCUUCGGGUUGUAAACCGCUUUCGCCUGUGACGAAGCGGGAGUGACGGUAAUGGGUAAAGAAGCACCGGCUAACUACGUG
Molecule: ribosomal RNA, 468 nt
Filed under: uncultured bacterium
Lineage: Bacteria
Description: partial 16S ribosomal RNA
Rfam family: Bacterial small subunit ribosomal RNA
Source: RNAcentral